ACGGAGAGUUUGAUUCUGGCUCAGAACGAACGCUGGCGGCGUGGAUAAGACAUGCAAGUCGAACGGGACUUUUUCCUGUAGCAAUACAGGGAAAAGUCUAGUGGCGAACGGGUGCGUAACACGUGAGCAAUCUGCCGAGAAGUGGGGGAUAGCUCGCCGAAAGGCGAAUUAAUACCGCAUGUGGCCAAGGAAGACAUCUUCCUGACGCCAAAGCCGGGGCAACCUGGCGCUUCCCGAUGAGCUCGCGGCCUAUCAGCUAGUUGGUGAGGUAAUAGCUCACCAAGGCUAUGACGGGUAGCUGGUCUGAGAGGACGACCAGCCACACUGGAACUGAGACACGGUCCAGACACCUACGG
RNAcentral lists this ribosomal RNA (356 nucleotides) under Chthoniobacterales bacterium. Its description in RNAcentral is "bacterial SSU rRNA". It matches the Rfam family "Bacterial small subunit ribosomal RNA", at positions 1 to 344 of the family's 1533-position model. The record is from RNAcentral. Lineage: Bacteria; Pseudomonadati; Verrucomicrobiota; Spartobacteria; Chthoniobacterales.